RNAcentral lists this small RNA (77 nucleotides) under Xanthomonas sp. NCPPB 1131. Its description in RNAcentral is "sX9 sRNA". It matches the Rfam family "Xanthomonas sRNA sX9". Lineage: Bacteria; Pseudomonadati; Pseudomonadota; Gammaproteobacteria; Lysobacterales; Lysobacteraceae. RNAcentral also lists the same sequence under 1 other name. The record is from RNAcentral.
AUGGACGCACUUGUACACUCCGGUUCCUGCGCGCGCCGUCCCGGCCAUCUGUCGGCUGCUCGCAACGUGUUGUAGCC